CACGUAGGGGGCAAGCGUUGUCCGGAUUUAUUGGGCGUAAAGAGCUCGUAGGUGGCUAAGUAAGUCGGACCUUAAAUCCCAGGCUCAACCUGGGACACGGCUCGAUACUGCUUUGGCUAGAGUCCGGUAGGGGAGCAUGGAAUUCCUGGUGUAGCGGUAGAAUGCGCAGAGUAUCAGGAGGAACACCAGCGGCGGAAGGCGG
This 202-nucleotide ribosomal RNA is filed under the name uncultured bacterium. RNAcentral's name for it is "partial 16S ribosomal RNA". It matches the Rfam family "Bacterial small subunit ribosomal RNA", at positions 524 to 724 of the family's 1533-position model. The record is from RNAcentral.